ACUCCUACGGGAGGCAGCAGUGGGGAAUAUUGCACAAUGGGCGAAAGCCUGAUGCAGCGACGCCGCGUGAGGGACGACGGCCUUCGGGUUGUAAACCUCUUUCAGUAGGGAACAAGGCAUCAUUUUUGUGGUGUUGAGGGUACUUGCAGAAGAAGCACCGGCUAACUACGUGCCAGCAGCCGCGGUAAUACGUAGGGUGCAAGCGUUAUCCGGAAUUAUUGGGCGUAAAGAGCUCGUAGGCGGUUUGUCGCGUCUGUCGUGAAAGUCCGGGGCUCAACUCCGGAUCUGCGGUGGGUACGGGCAGACUAGAGUGAUGUAGGGGAGACUGGAAUUCCUGGUGUAGCGGUGGAAUGCGCAGAUAUCAGGAGGAACACCGAUGGCGAAGGCAGGUCUCUGGGCAUUAACUGACGCUGAGGAGCGAAAGCAUGGGGAGCGAACAGGAUUAGAUA
RNAcentral lists this ribosomal RNA (449 nucleotides) under uncultured bacterium. RNAcentral's name for it is "bacterial SSU rRNA". It matches the Rfam family "Bacterial small subunit ribosomal RNA", at positions 335 to 784 of the family's 1533-position model. The record is from RNAcentral.